UAUAUAUUGUGUCCCUCUCUACUAUCUAGCGAAACCACAGCCAAGAGAACGGGCUUGUAAAAAUCAGCGGGGAAAGAAGACCUUGUUGAGCUUGACUCAAGUCUGACUCUGUGAAGAGUCAUGAGAGGUGUAGCAUAAAUGGGCGGCCGUGGACUCUCGUGGUUGUGUCGUGCUGACAGCGAAAUACCACUACUUUCAUCGUUUCUUUACUUACUCUGUGAAGCAGAAAGCGCACCAUAACUGUCGACGCUUCUAGAACUAAGUGCAAGGCACUUCGUUGGCCCGCACGAUCUGUUACGAGUACAGUCUCAGGCGGGGAGUUUGACGGGGGCGGUACAUCUGUCAAAUAGUAACGCAGAUGUCCUAAGGCGAACUCAGCAAGGACAAAAACCUCGCGUUGAGCAAAAGGGCAAAUGCAUGCUCGAUCUUGAUUUUCAGCACGACUAGUGACCGCGAAAGCAGGGCCCUUCGAUCCUUUUGACAUUAAGAGUUUUAAAGGGGCACUCAAGUGGUUUUUGGGGAAGCUACUUGUUGGUUGGAUGGCGUUAAGGAAGUGUCAGUAAAUGAGUAUAUUUAGUUUUAGAAAGCAGAACCGCCUAUUAAUCACGCAGGAAUAGAAUACGUGUGGACUCUUUUCUGUUCCAGCGCCGACAAAUGAAGUUUUCGUAUGUUUGAAAAUUUUGGCGCCCUUUGCAAAGUUUCGCUAAAGAAACAAUUUUCAGUUAGUUUAGAUAUAUUGUGCACGAUAAUUGCACAAGACGUAAAAUAGUUCUAGUUUAGAAUACGCGAUACUGAAAUUAUUGUUUCACAAACAAGGGAUUACGUUUU
Molecule: ribosomal RNA, 828 nt
Filed under: Ixodes scapularis (black-legged tick)
Lineage: Eukaryota; Metazoa; Arthropoda; Arachnida; Ixodida; Ixodidae
Description: eukaryotic large subunit ribosomal RNA
Rfam family: Eukaryotic large subunit ribosomal RNA
Source: RNAcentral